Lagopus muta (rock ptarmigan) is the source of this 5083-nucleotide long non-coding RNA. RefSeq lists it as uncharacterized. The record is from RefSeq and is a predicted model, not a curated record. NCBI's taxonomy places the organism in Eukaryota, Metazoa, Chordata, Aves, Galliformes, Phasianidae. The transcript is spliced from 3 exons.
UCAAGCAGAGAGACCAGAGUAUGUGGAGUUAAAGUGUAACUUCUUGACAGGUAAUAAUUAAAAAGCUUCUUUCUAAAUCUCUUUCCCCUCUGCUGAAAACACCAAGGCUUGCUUUUGCAAUAGAUCGCAUUGAUCGCACUCUAUGCACUGAUCUGUCACCAGCCCCCAGCCCAGAUGCUCUUCUGCACUCACCAGCACCUUCCCCUCUUUUGGCUAGAUGGCUGCUCCAGGGCCGUUUCUGGGACCCACCAAAGAGGAAAACCAGAGAGUCAAAGGGGACCAACUAUCUCUCACACAGCUGGGUUGUGCAGACUGUACCUCUGAUUUUUGCCCUACGUUCACACUGUGGGGGAGUUUGGAAAGAAAAGAUAUGCAGGAAACCAAUUCACUGCCAUUGUUGGGGAGGAUCUCUGCCAAGAGGCCUCAAACUCUUCCCAGGGGCAGAACUAUCCAAAGCAAACCUUCAGCCUCGUCCUAGCAGCCGUGUUGAAAGUUUUAGGUGCUCUGAGUUACAUGAGGUCAUAAAUUAAUCUGCCAGAGGAGCGCGGCAAGCACCUGAUAUCAAGGGAGGGUCAGGAGCCGGCCAGCUCCAGCUGGCCCCACGUGUGAUUUACUCCAGGCUUUAAAGAUGUAUGCUGUGGUGUUUUGAUAAGAAUAAAAGAGUCAUCAGUUUGAUUUGGCAAUUUUUUUUUUUUUUACUCUUCUUUCUGAAGAGGGCUGCAGCUUUAGCUGUGGAAUUUGUUAUUGCUCUCAGGGUGCUUUUUAGCAGAGGCUCUCGGUCUGCAUGGGGCUAUUUCAUCCCUUUGCUGUUAGACUUAACUACGUUUCUGUCUCUAUGGAGCAAGUCAGACAACAGCACGCACUUCAGCUCCUCUCCUGCCUGCAGCAUCUCCUGAAGCACUCAGAAAAACCACAGCCCAGUUGUGCAGAUAAGAUUCUCUGCCUCGGCAAUGGCCCACCACUACGUCACAUUUCUGACCUCCUACCACAAGUCCUUGCCCUAUAGGUCACUCUCUUCCCCCGACAUCAUUCCAGUACAUAAGCACUUUCUUUUUGUCCUGUACAGGUGCAUUCACACAUUGUUCAGGGCUGAGUGUGGGAGGAUGUCCUGCUCUUAGCUGAACACAUCUCUUACGUGCAGGUCCCAUCACACCCACGGUGCCCUCAUCCAAAGCCCCCAAACUUUCAGUCAUAGCUUUUAAUCAGAGAAAACUGAAAGAGUGAUUCCCAUUCUGACAUGGAGAGACCACCAGAAAUACCCCAGAGCAAGGAGUAAUGCACCAGGAGCAUUCUGCAGAAAUGACAGCAGUCACAGAUAGCAGAAUUGCAUGAGGAGUUUGGGAUUAUAUCCCUGUUUUUUUCUCCUUUCUUCCUAUUUUAGUUUCUCUGCCUGUAAAAUAGGCAAAUAGCUUCUGACCCUACUGCUUUUCCAUGAGGCAAUUGCUCUCUGAAAAAAGAAAAAAAUCAGAAACCCUCCGAGGACACAAUUGGUGACAGUGUUCUGAGGUGGAUGCACUGCCAUUCUUGUGUUGUGCUUGGCUUAGACUUCCCAGCACAGACCCUGUUUUCUGUUGCAUGUAGCUUUAGAAAAAACAUCAUCACUUCAGCUGAAAACUGAUAUGCUGACUGUCUGUACCAAGAUGAUUAUUUUGAAAAUACCUGCCAAAACAAUUUGUCCAUUUCCAAGAACAAGGUUAUGGAAAAAUAAACAGUUUUGCUCAUACUAAAAAAAUGGAAACUUUUUCCUUUGAAAUGCUCUGCUGCCCUCAGGCUUUGAAGCACGGACUCAAAAUGUGACCUCUUUCAUUCAAAACGCGCCUUUCCUUUCUCUGAAAAUUUACACAAAUCUGGCUAACUUGUACAUAUUAGAUUAUUUUCUUUCUUGGAUGAGCACACUCUCAGUAAUGAUUUCUUUUCUUCUAAUAGAGAAAAAAAAAUAAAAAAGGAUCAUUAAAGACUGGUCUUGUCUGAGAACAGAAGCUUAAGAAUACUGUGGUAAAGCUAGAUUUCCACUUUAAUCCCCACCUCCAAAUUUUCCCAGUGAGCACAAGCCUUGGCACAGGAUCUGAGAGGUAGGAAUCCUAUCUCUUCUAAGCUCUAAAUGAUUUGAAGGUUGUAUCAAGAAGAAAGGUCUCUGCAUGAAUACGACAGGGAGAAAAUUCCACCCUGUGACAGAGAAGGCAAUGGAAGCAGCCAAGCAGCCUGGAGAGAAAAACUGGGACUGGUGUUUGGAGCAAGAUCCUGGGACUGAUUAGGUAAGGAAACACAAAGGUGUUAUGGAAAAAGCAGAGAGAAAGUGCUCAGCAGAGAAGCCUGGAGGGGAGAAAAGGGGCUGCCAUGUCCAGAAUGUCCAGAAUAGCUGGGCUGAAUCUCAGGUGAAACACAGUAAAAACUGUAAGUCAAAAUGUUUUAUUUCUGUAUUGUUAACUGAUGUACUUCAGCUUCUCUGUCAAGCAUUAAUGUUUUUUAUUUUGAAUAGAAUUUGUUUUCUGAUUCUGGAAAAUAAAGAAUUUAAUGACCUUCACAAUAAGUAUUUCUGAGCAAAUUCAGAACAUUUUAAAAUGAUUUUUGUGUGUGUGAGAGACAUCAAGCUAAGGGAACGUCGGCACAAGCUGUAACAUCAGGUACUCAAAUGUUAGGACAACGUCUAAGCUGAGAGUUCCUAAGUUCUGUCUCCCUACACUGAGGUACACAACCACAGAGAGUUCAUUCCACCAAUUUCCCAAAAUACAAAUGUAGCCCUGCAAGGUAUGCCUUCUCGGUGGGCAGGGCACAAGUUCGUAGUUUUUAUUCACUGUAUUUCCAAUUUGUCACAGAACUAGGUACUGUUCACAGACAAGGCAGACAAUUAUAAGGAGAGAAAGCAGGGCCUUGUGGCAAUGUGACAGCUGAAUUUUGUUUGUAGAAUCUGAAUCCACUCCCCUUUCACCUCAAAGCUUCUAUAAUGUGAAGAAAGUCACCACAAGAUGUAAUAAUUAGCAGAGAUUUUUGUGUUAUGGGAGCCCAUCAUGAAAUUCUGGAGUUGGAUUUACAGAAGAAAAUUCCUAUGACAAAAUCCAUGGGACUGUACAUCGACAAUGCCAAGGAAUGCAGAAUGUCAAACAGGCUGAAAAAAACAAGUAACCAGCAUCUCUAAUUGGAUACUCAAAAAUAGCGGGCACUUCUGACUUUAAUCUCAUUUAGUUGGAGCACAGAUUUAUUAACAAGGAUAAGACUCUCACUGCUUCAAUUUUUUGUUGUAAAGGAUGUUUGCCAAACACCCAGACACUAUUCAUCUUGUGGCUGUGAGAGGAACAGCAGAAAAAUGUGCUGGGUUCAAAUUGGGAUUUCUGUGCCCUAAACAAAACCUACAGAGUCCCACACAGAUAAAUUCCACAGCAGAAACUAGCUCCUGUUAGCCCUGUUCCACGUACUACUCUGAAUGACAAAGGGGUGCUCACAAAAAUAUCAAGCAGAAAAGUCCCACACCUUUUCAAAUGAUAUUCUUGUAGGUUGUACGUGAAUGGAUGAAACAAAGUUUUUGUUUUGUUUUGUUUUGUUAUUUUUGAAAAGGGAGGAAGCGAGGAAGAAAAAAGCAGAGGAACAAGCCCAUGAUGUCAGAAAACAUGGAAAAUAUCAGUUUUGGGCAUUCAGCCCAGCAACUUCUCUUUGGUUACUGCAAGAUCUCUUUUCCUUUGCAUUUUUUUUUUUAACAUCCUUUCAGUCGCUUCAGAACAAACAUUUUUUCCAAUGACAAAUUUUGAAUUUUAAGGAAAGCUUCCCAGUAUUUCCCAGAAAAUUCUUGAUCAUCUCCAGGUAUGUGAAGGUGCCGUUAGGAGCUGCAUGAUAACACAUCUUUGCAAGGGAUUGUAACUGAGUGGUGUGAUCAGCUCUCAUUCUGUCAGUUCCUACUGCUUCCUGCUGGCUUUAAAUGCUUAUAGACUCUGUAAUUUGCUUUUAAUUUGAGUGUGUGUGUAUGUGUAAAAUACUAUAUGACCACAUGACCAUGCAAGAUUUAUCUUCUACCUAAUUUAUUGCUGUUCUAUUUCUUCCAUUAAAGCAUAAGUUUUUACAUCCAUUCAUUGAUUUUACAUUCCAUAGAAUCACAGAAUAUCCUGAAUUGAAAGGGACCCACAAGGAUCAUUGUGUCCAACUUGUGGCUCCGUACAGAACCAGCCAAAAUCCAAACCCUAUGUCUGAGACCAUUAUCCAAUCGCUCCUUGAAGUCCAUCAGCUCGAGACCAUGCCCACUGCCCCCACUGCCCACUUUGGUUUUUUUUGCUCUUAUAGCAUGUAUUUAAUUGCUUGAUUUUUAAUUGCUUAUAUAUUAUUUAUUUUAGCAUUGACAGCUAUAUGUAGGGAACUGGAGUAAAGUCUCCAAAGUUUUCAGGUGGAUGGAGGAACCAUUAACCCAGACUGCUCUACAACAAGCUGGAUUUGCACAAGCAAGGGGCAAAAAAAAAAAAAAAAAAAAGAAAAAUUUAAAGUUCUGUUUUCUGUGUUACAGAAAAGUUCCAGAAUCACUCUCCUUCUUAAUGUAAAGACAGUAGCAUGAUCACCAGGCAUGUGGUCCUGACCUCAGACCGAGGAUCCUUGGCCUAGAGUCAGGCAGUCCCUGCAGUCACUGAAACAGCCAAGUUAACUGUCUGUUUAGCCAUGGAUUAAAAUUCAUCCACUGAUCCAAGACAAUGCUCACGUGAUAUCCUAAAAGAAGAGUCGUUUGGAAACAGAGCUGACUGCAGCAUGUGUGAAAGUACACAUCAGCCAGACACAAAGAUGAAGUCUGCUUCCAACCUGAAGCUCACAGCCUCUAAAUCCAGCUGAAAGCUCUUCUCCUUAAGUCACAGGCUUUGCAGACCAGUAUGAGAAACUGUAAGACCCUCAACAAAACCAAUGGCUGGCUCAACUCUAGAACAGUCCCUGGAAACCAGUGUGGAUGCAGCAAGAACCGGAAAGACUGUAUUAUGCCUUAAGAGAUGAGAUGUGCACCCUCAGUAAAGUAACACACCCAAGUAACAAGGCUAAUCAGCAAAGAUUUUGUACUAUUUCCAUAAUGAAAGUCCACUGUUGUGAAGAAUUUUCCUCCUCAAAGCCCAAGGCUAAA